GACGAAGGGGGCUAGCGUUGCUCGGAAUUAUUGGGCGUAAAGCGCACGUAGGCGGCAUUGCAAGUCGGACGUGAAAUCCCUCGGCUUAACCAAGGAAGUGCAUCCGAAACUGCAGUGCUUGAGUACGAAAGAGGAUCGCGGAAUUCCCAGUGUAGCGGUGAAAUGCGUAGAUAUUGGGAGGAACACCAGUGGCGAAGGCGGCUCACUGGACCGGAACUGACGCUGAGGCGCGAAAGCGUGGGGAGCAAACGGG
This 253-nucleotide ribosomal RNA is filed under the name uncultured bacterium. RNAcentral's name for it is "partial 16S ribosomal RNA". It matches the Rfam family "Bacterial small subunit ribosomal RNA", at positions 524 to 776 of the family's 1533-position model. The record is from RNAcentral.